RNAcentral lists this ribosomal RNA (300 nucleotides) under Triticum aestivum (bread wheat). Its description in RNAcentral is "partial small subunit ribosomal RNA". Lineage: Eukaryota; Viridiplantae; Streptophyta; Magnoliopsida; Poales; Poaceae. The record is from RNAcentral.
AUGGCGGUGGUGCACAUCCCGCGCCAGUUCAAGGUGUCAGACUGGUUCCUGAACAGGAAGAGGGACUACAAGGACGUGAGGUUCUCCCAGGUCAUCUCCAACGCCGUCAACAUGAAGCUCAGGGAUGACCUUGAGAGGCUCAAGAAGAUCAGGCAGGGAGCAAGUAGCACUGCUGGUUACUUGGGGCCAGAUCGAGUAAGAUGGUGCACCAUGGGUUUAUUUUGCCUCCAAGAGCAGCACUGUUUAUUUUGCUUCCAUGGCGUGUGGCGGCCUAUUUGGAAUGAUUGUCAUGUACUGUGA